RNAcentral lists this ribosomal RNA (253 nucleotides) under uncultured bacterium. Its description in RNAcentral is "partial 16S ribosomal RNA". It matches the Rfam family "Bacterial small subunit ribosomal RNA", at positions 524 to 776 of the family's 1533-position model. The record is from RNAcentral.
GACAGAGGCCUCGAGCGUUAAGCGGAAUCACUGGGCUUAAAGCGUGUGUAGGCGGGCCCGUAAGUGUCUUGUGAAAUCCCACGGCUCAACCGUGGAACUGCUGGGCAUACUGCGGGUCUUGGGCCAACUAGGGGCAGCCGGAACAAGCGGUGGAGCGGUGAAAUGCGUAGAUAUCGCUUGGAACGCCGAAGGUGAAAACAGGCUGCUGGGGUUGCGCCGACGCUGAGACACGAAAGCCAGGGGAGCAAACGGG